RNAcentral lists this ribosomal RNA (279 nucleotides) under uncultured bacterium. RNAcentral's name for it is "partial 16S ribosomal RNA". It matches the Rfam family "Bacterial small subunit ribosomal RNA", at positions 506 to 784 of the family's 1533-position model. The record is from RNAcentral.
UGCCAGCCGCCGCGGUAAUACGUAGGGUGCGAGCGUUAAUCGGAAUUAUUGGGCGUAAAGAGCACGUAGGCUGCCCGGUUAGUCCGCUGUAAAAGUCAAAGGCUCAACCUUUGAAUGCCGGUGGAUACUGCCGGGCUAGAGUCCGGAAGAGGCGAGUGGAAUUCCUGGUGUAGCGGUGGAAUGCGCAGAUAUCAGGAGGAACACCCAUAGCGAAGGCAGCUCGCUGGGACGGUACUGACGCUGAGGUGCGAAAGCGUGGGGAGCGAACAGGAUUAGAUA